This 282-nucleotide ribosomal RNA is filed under the name Listeria monocytogenes. RNAcentral's name for it is "partial 16S ribosomal RNA". It matches the Rfam family "Bacterial small subunit ribosomal RNA", at positions 666 to 947 of the family's 1533-position model. Lineage: Bacteria; Bacillati; Bacillota; Bacilli; Caryophanales; Listeriaceae. The record is from RNAcentral.
AUUCCAGGUGUAGCGGUGAAAUGCGUAGAGAUCUGGAGGAAUACCGGUGGCGAAGGCGGCCCCCUGGACGAUAACUGACGCUGAGGCGCGAAAGCGUGGGGAGCAAACAGGAUUAGAUACCCUGGUAGUCCACGCCGUAAACGAUGUCGACUUGGAGGUUGUGCCCUUGAGGCGUGGCUUCCGGAGCUAACGCGUUAAGUCGACCGCCUGGGGAGUACGGCCGCAAGGUUAAAACUCAAAUGAAUUGACGGGGGCCCGCACAAGCGGUGGAGCAUGUGGUUU